This 375-nucleotide ribosomal RNA is filed under the name Mycobacterium tuberculosis. RNAcentral describes it as "bacterial SSU rRNA". It matches the Rfam family "Bacterial small subunit ribosomal RNA", at positions 1 to 374 of the family's 1533-position model. RNAcentral also lists the same sequence under 3 other names. The record is from RNAcentral. Lineage: Bacteria; Bacillati; Actinomycetota; Actinomycetes; Mycobacteriales; Mycobacteriaceae.
AAAUUGAAGAGUUUGAUCAUGGCUCAGAUUGAACGCUGGCGGCAGGCCUAACACAUGCAAGUCGAGCGGUAGCACAGAGAGCUUGCUCUCGGGUGACGAGCGGCGGACGGGUGAGUAAUGUCUGGGAAACUGCCUGAUGGAGGGGGAUAACUACUGGAAACGGUAGCUAAUACCGCAUAACGUCGCAAGACCAAAGUGGGGGACCUUCGGGCCUCAUGCCAUCAGAUGUGCCCAGAUGGGAUUAGCUAGUAGGUGGGGUAACGGCUCACCUAGGCGACGAUCCCUAGCUGGUCUGAGAGGAUGACCAGCCACACUGGAACUGAGACACGGUCCAGACUCCUACGGGAGGCAGCAGUGGGGAAUAUUGCACAAUGG